AGGAAUAGCAUCGAGCAGUGAGAGUUCGCCGUUGCGAUUCGAAGUUUAAUGAACGAGUACGACUACCGGCCUCAUUGGCGCUCUAAGCUUUUGGACUAUAAAGCUAUAGAAUUCAUUAUAAUAUAUUUUUGUGACAGAUAUAAAAGUACGGCCUACUCAAGCGGACCAGACUCUUACAAAGUAAAUCAAGCAAUACGUUAUAAGCAACAAAACCUGAUCUAUGUUACAUUGAAAGACACAUACAUAUGUAGAUAUGUACACCGAAACAAAGUUAGGUUUGCAGCGCUCCUGAUUGCUAUUAAAGUCAAAUGCAUCUACAACCAUCAAACGGUUGCCUAUAUCGGAAGCAAUAGAAGUGGAAAUUCAAAGCAGUUCGUGGGCUGUGCUUGUGUUUUGCGCUCGUAAGAAUCUGUGCAAUGUUAAAAUUUGUAACUUUUAGAAUUUCUAUGUGCUAGUGGUUUUACGAAAAUUCAUUAUAAGUUCGACAUUAGAGGAUAGAUAUCAACUCCGGGAUACCGAAUGUCUUUGUCAAAAUUUCAUAUGCAUAUGUACUUAUAUUAGAAGACACUAAAGUUGGCAAACAACGCAACUUACACCGUAAAAGUGACAAAGCUAGCUUCCUAGAUAUGAGAACUGACUACUAAUAGCCGACAAGUCAGCGAUGCAUCGUAACUGUUAGUAAUCACAGACUAACAGAGCGGAAUAGCUUUUGCACAUAAAAAAUGGAAUGCGAAAGUAACGGAGGAUAAAUAAAACAUAAUCACACUGCAAUAAGCGGGUGGUUGACCCAAAGACAAUGCACAGACAACAACAGAUCAAUUAUAAGAGAAAUAUGAGCGCUAAAGCCGUGCGCAUCAUGUCAGCUUUCAAUUGAAAAGUUGCACUGUGGACUAAUAUAAUAUAUAUACACUGCUACUGAAUGAAAGAAAAAUCAGUUUGUAUAUACGUAGGCUCUUAAGUGUCAAAUGUUGAUAAUGACCAAACUAAUGAUGACCAUGAUGAUGGUGGUGUUGGGUCAGUUACUACAAAGCUCCUUGAAAUAUAAUUCAGUGAACUGUAACUAAACGAAUAAAGCUGAGAGCGAGGUGAGAGCUAAAGGCUCUGCCGAGUGUGGCCCUGAAUGCUUGGAUGUUGCUGAAUUACGAAAAGUAACGAGUAGGUGUAAUGGUGGUUGAAUGGCGUCAGCGAAGGCAAUACUUUUUGGACGGUGGAGAUAAACGGGGUGUUCAGGGACUCACUGCGCCAAUCAGUCCGGGUUACAAUUUUAAUAAAAUAAGGAAACCAAUAAUGUC
This 1292-nucleotide long non-coding RNA is filed under the name Bactrocera latifrons. Its description in RNAcentral is "uncharacterized LOC108968448, transcript variant X1". Lineage: Eukaryota; Metazoa; Arthropoda; Insecta; Diptera; Tephritidae. The record is from RNAcentral.